RNAcentral lists this ribosomal RNA (1491 nucleotides) under metagenome. Its description in RNAcentral is "bacterial SSU rRNA". It matches the Rfam family "Bacterial small subunit ribosomal RNA". The record is from RNAcentral.
AGAGUUUGAUCCUGGCUCAGAUUGAACGCUGGCGGCAUGCCUUACACAUGCAAGUCGAACGGCAGCACGAGAGCUUGCUCUUGGUGGCGAGUGGCGAACGGGUGAGUAAUAUAUCGGAACGUACCCUAGAGUGGGGGAUAACGUAGCGAAAGUUACGCUAAUACCGCAUACGAUCUACGGAUGAAAGUGGGGGAUCGCAAGACCUCAUGCUCAUGGAGCGGCCGAUAUCUGAUUAGCUAGUUGGUGGGGUAAAAGCUCACCAAGGCGACGAUCAGUAGCUGGUCUGAGAGGACGACCAGCCACACUGGAACUGAGACACGGUCCAGACUCCUACGGGAGGCAGCAGUGGGGAAUUUUGGACAAUGGGCGCAAGCCUGAUCCAGCAAUGCCGCGUGAGUGAAGAAGGCCUUCGGGUUGUAAAGCUCUUUUGUCAGGGAAGAAACGGUGGACUCUAAUACAGAUCACUAAUGACGGUACCUGAAGAAUAAGCACCGGCUAACUACGUGCCAGCAGCCGCGGUAAUACGUAGGGUGCAAGCGUUAAUCGGAAUUACUGGGCGUAAAGCGUGCGCAGGCGGUUGUGCAAGACAGAUGUGAAAUCCCCGGGCUCAACCUGGGAAUUGCAUUUGUGACUGCACGGCUAGAGUGUGUCAGAGGGGGGUAGAAUUCCACGUGUAGCAGUGAAAUGCGUAGAGAUGUGGAGGAAUACCGAUGGCGAAGGCAGCCCCCUGGGAUAACACUGACGCUCAUGCACGAAAGCGUGGGGAGCAAACAGGAUUAGAUACCCUGGUAGUCCACGCCCUAAACGAUGUCUACUAGUUGUCGGGUCUUAAUUGACUUGGUAACGCAGCUAACGCGUGAAGUAGACCGCCUGGGGAGUACGGUCGCAAGAUUAAAACUCAAAGGAAUUGACGGGGACCCGCACAAGCGGUGGAUGAUGUGGAUUAAUUCGAUGCAACGCGAAAAACCUUACCUACCCUUGACAUGUCUGGAAUCCUUGAGAGAUCAGGGAGUGCUCGAAAGAGAAUCAGAACACAGGUGCUGCAUGGCUGUCGUCAGCUCGUGUCGUGAGAUGUUGGGUUAAGUCCCGCAACGAGCGCAACCCUUGUCAUUAGUUGCUACGAAAGGGCACUCUAAUGAGACUGCCGGUGACAAACCGGAGGAAGGUGGGGAUGACGUCAAGUCCUCAUGGCCCUUAUGGGAAGGGCUUCACACGUCAUACAAUGGUACAUACAGAGGGCCGCCAACCCGCGAGGGGGAGCUAAUCCCAGAAAGUGUAUCGUAGUCCGGAUUGUAGUCUGCAACUCGACUACAUGAAGUUGGAAUCGCUAGUAAUCGCGGAUCAGCAUGUCGCGGUGAAUACGUUCCCGGGUCUUGUACACACCGCCCGUCACACCAUGGGAGCGGGCUUUACCAGAAGUGGGUAGCCUAACCGCAAGGAGGGCGCUCACCACGGUGGGAUUCGUGACUGGGGUGAAGUCGUAACAAGGUA